This 607-nucleotide ribosomal RNA is filed under the name uncultured fungus. RNAcentral describes it as "eukaryotic LSU rRNA". The stretch from base 196 to 349 matches the Rfam family "5.8S ribosomal RNA". Lineage: Eukaryota; Fungi. The record is from RNAcentral.
GGAAGGAUCAUUACAAAUGUUAAGGGUGUCCUCAGGGGCCCCCAAGCAAACACAUGCCUUGUGUAUUCCUCCUGCCGGUCCCUCAAUCCUUGCGUCGCAGUAGGGGCUGAGGUGCCCAGCGGAGGGCCCAUUUUUAACCCUUUGCUAAACCUGUCUUAUGAGAUGGCCCCGUGCCAGAAUCUUUAAACAUUUUAAAACUUUCAACAACGGAUCUCUUGGCUCUCGCAUCGAUGAAGAACGCAGCGAAAUGCGAUAAGUAAUGUGAAUUGCAGAAUUCAGUGAAUCAUCGAAUCUUUGAACGCACAUUGCGCCCUCUGGCAUUCCUCAGGGCAUGCCUGUUCGAGCGUCACUAACAACCAUCUCACAUGCAAUGUGGUCUUGGCUCAUGUGUAUAGCGCCUCCUGUGCUGACUUCACUAAGCUGAAAUGAAUAGGCCAGAUAAGCAAACCAUGGCAACUGACUCACAGAGUAUCUAACAAUGCUAAACUAGUCGCUAGCUGGUAUGAAUCUGUGCCAGUGGACCCCCCCGUUCAUUCAAAUGAGACAUGUUGACCUCGGAUCAGGUAGGGAUACCCGCUGAACUUAAGCAUAUCAAUAAGCGGAGGAA